UGGUGGAGUGAUUUGUCUGGUUAAUUCCGUUAACGAACGAGACCGCUGCCUGCUAAAUAGUCCAGUGAGUGAAUUUCACUGACCAGGACUUCUUAGAGGGGCGUGCAUUUUUUAAAUGCAGGAAGAUAGCGGCGAUAACA
This 140-nucleotide ribosomal RNA is filed under the name uncultured eukaryote. RNAcentral's name for it is "partial 18S ribosomal RNA". It matches the Rfam family "Eukaryotic small subunit ribosomal RNA", at positions 1299 to 1458 of the family's 1831-position model. The record is from RNAcentral.